This 23-nucleotide small nuclear RNA is filed under the name Arabidopsis thaliana (thale cress). RNAcentral describes it as "snRNA_16797". Lineage: Eukaryota; Viridiplantae; Streptophyta; Magnoliopsida; Brassicales; Brassicaceae. The record is from RNAcentral.
UCUGUGUUGCUGCAUGCCUGCAU